GACGAACGCUGGCGGCGUGCCUAACACAUGCAAGUCGAGCGGAGGUACAAUGAGAGCAAUCGAGAUGUACUUUAGCGGCGGACGGGUGAGUAACGCGUGAGCAACCUGCCUAUCACAGGGGGAUAAGGCGGCGAAAGCCGCUCUAAUACCGCAUGAGACCCUCAAAGCGAUGCAAUGGGGGUGAAAGGAGCGAUCCGGUGAGAGAUGGGCUCGCGUCCGAUUAGGUAGUUGGUAGGGUAAGGGCCUACUAAGCCAAUGAUCGGUAGCCGGCCUGAGAGGGUGAACGGCCACAUUGGAACUGAGAGACGGUCCAAACUCCUACGGGAGGCAGCAGUGGGGAAUAUUGGGCAAUGGGCGGAAGCCUGACCCAGCAACGCCGCGUGAGGGAAGAAGGUUUUCGGAUUGUAAACCUCUGUUCUUGGGGAAGAGGAGGAGACGGUACCCAAGGAGGAAGCCCCGGCUAACUACGUG
This 471-nucleotide ribosomal RNA is filed under the name uncultured bacterium. RNAcentral's name for it is "bacterial SSU rRNA". It matches the Rfam family "Bacterial small subunit ribosomal RNA", at positions 28 to 507 of the family's 1533-position model. The record is from RNAcentral.